This 300-nucleotide ribosomal RNA is filed under the name Alexandrium tamarense. Its description in RNAcentral is "partial Bacterial large subunit ribosomal RNA". It matches the Rfam family "Bacterial large subunit ribosomal RNA", at positions 2182 to 2481 of the family's 2925-position model. Lineage: Eukaryota; Dinophyceae; Gonyaulacales; Pyrocystaceae. The record is from RNAcentral.
GGAGUCGCCGUUGAAAUACCACCCUGAAUUGUCUGAGUGUCUAACCGUGGCCCGUUAUCCGGGUCCGGGAAACUGUCUGGUGGGUAGUUUGACUGGGGCGGUCUCCUCCUAAAGGGUAACGGAGGAGUUCGAAGGUACGCUUGGUACGGUCGGAAAUCGUGCCUAAAGUGCAAUGGCAAAAGCGUGCUUGACUGCGAGACCGACAAGUCGAGCAGGUGCGAAAGCAGGACAUAGUGAUCCGGUGGUUCUGUAUGGAAGGGCCAUCGCUCAACGGACAAAAGGUACUCUGGGGAUAACAGG